This 433-nucleotide ribosomal RNA is filed under the name uncultured bacterium. RNAcentral describes it as "partial 16S ribosomal RNA". It matches the Rfam family "Bacterial small subunit ribosomal RNA", at positions 29 to 507 of the family's 1533-position model. The record is from RNAcentral.
AACGAACGCUGGCGGCAUGCCUAACACAUGCAAGUCGAACGAAACCUUCGGGUCUGGGGGCUCACGGGUGCGUAACGCGUGGGAACAUACCCGUGUGUUCGGAAUAACUCCCCGAAAGGACUUCUAAUACCGGAGAAUGUCUUCGGACAGAAGAUUUAUCGCCUUUGGAUGGGCCCGCGUUGGAUUAGCUAGUUGGUAGGGUAAAAGCCUACCAAGGCGACGAUCCAUAGCUGGUCUGAGAGGAUGAUCAGCCAGACUGGGACUGAGACACGGCCCAGACUCCUACGGGAGGCAGCAGUGGGGAAUAUUGGACAAUGGGCGAAAGCCUGAUCCAGCAAUGCCGCGUGAGUGAUGAAGGCCUUAGGGUUGUAAAGCUCUUUUACCCGGGAUGAUAAUGACAGUACCGGGAGAAUAAGCUCCGGCUAACUCCGUG